This 163-nucleotide ribosomal RNA is filed under the name uncultured bacterium. RNAcentral describes it as "partial 16S ribosomal RNA". It matches the Rfam family "Bacterial small subunit ribosomal RNA", at positions 355 to 510 of the family's 1533-position model. The record is from RNAcentral.
UAGGGAAUCUUCCACAAUGGGCGCAAGCCUGAUGGAGCAACACCGCGUGAGUGAAGAAGGGUUUCGGCUCGUAAAGCUCUGUUGUUAAAGAAGAACACGUAUGAGAGUAACUGUUCAUACGUUGACGGUAUUUAACCAGAAAGCCACGGCUAACUACGUGCAG